AGUUGGGUCAAUAUCCCUAAUGGACCUUGAGAUGAGGAACACAGAUUUAUGACUCCCAUUAAAAAAUUAGUCCGCCAUACAAUUGUGGAAGCUGUGAUUUUAAAAAUUGACAUAAAUGAACUAGGACUGGUGUUUUAUAGAGCUGAUGUGAUGUGAAAAAAAGUAUAAAAAAAUAAACCUGAACAAAUAAUUACAAAGGACAUAUUUUUUAAUGAUUUUUAUGGUCAGAAUUUUGGGAUUAUUUCCUGAGGAGAGUGACAUUUUUCACUAUCUUUCGGGGUUGGGCACUUGACAGGAACACGAAUCACACUUGCCACCCCGAAAAUCGCACCACACAUGUGCAAGUGUCUCAGCUUCAAAAAAAGCCAUCAUACAUAUCCAAGUUUACGAUAUGGCCUGAGCAACAGAAGAAAACGUUAACAUUACCGCCUAUGGAGAAUCUAUUACGCAUAUUGCCCCAAUUUGUGGCCUUGAAUUUCAAAGGUGAUGGAGUGUUUCAUGGCUCAAAGACCACAAUUUAGGAUGAUAGCUGCUGAAAUCAAGAUAUGGCUAAAACUUCACAGAAUUGUUCAGAAAUG
Molecule: long non-coding RNA, 578 nt
Organism: Mytilus californianus (California mussel)
Lineage: Eukaryota; Metazoa; Mollusca; Bivalvia; Mytilida; Mytilidae
Exons: 2
Source: RefSeq, a predicted model, not a curated record